This 239-nucleotide long non-coding RNA is filed under the name Lotus japonicus. Its description in RNAcentral is "long non-coding RNA (LJAP_LNC000365)". The record is from RNAcentral. Lineage: Eukaryota; Viridiplantae; Streptophyta; Magnoliopsida; Fabales; Fabaceae.
UUAUGUUAAGAACAACACUGCAGGGCAAACCUGGAUACUCAAAGGUCGGAUCCAGUUGAAAGGCAAAUCCUGGGUGUUAAGACAUAAAUAUGAAAUGUUAAUUAAAACACUUUAAGUGAAAUGAUCCUCCAGCAGUUGAGGUGAUCUAGUUGCAUAGUACCUGGAACACAGGUUCCUAGGCAGGGGGACACCCUUGCAUUCGGAUAGAGCUCUAAGCCGCAGUUGGGAAUAUGCAAAAG